CAACGAUGCGUAGCCGACCUGAGAGGGUGAUCGGCCACACUGGAACUGAGGCACGGUCCAGACUCCUACGGGAGGCAGCAGUAGGGAAUCUUCCGCAAUGGGCGAAAGCCUGACGGAGCAACGCCGCGUGAGUGAUGAAGGUCUUCGGAUCGUAAAACUCUGUUAUUAGGGAAGAACAAAUGUGUAAGUAACUAUGCACGUCUUGACGGUACCUAAUCAGAAAGCCACGGCUAACUACGUGCCAGCAGCCGCGGUAAUACGUAGGUGGCAAGCGUUAUCCGGAAUUAUUGGGCGUAAAGCGCGCGUAGGCGGUUUUUUAAGUCUGAUGUGAAAGCCCACGGCUCAACCGUGGAGGGUCAUUGGAAACUGGAAAACUUGAGUGCAGAAGAGGAAAGUGGAAUUCCAUGUGUAGCGGUGAAAUGCGCAGAGAUAUGGAGGAACACCAGUGGCGAAGGCGACUUUCUGGUCUGUAACUGACGCUGAUGUGCGAAAGCGUGGGGAUCAAACAGGAUUAGAUACCCUGGUAGUCCACGCCGUAAACGAUGAGUGCUAAGUGUUAGGGGGUUUCCGCCCCUUAGUGCUGCAGCUAACGCAUUAAGCACUCCGCCCGGGGAGUACGACCGCAAGGUUGAAACUCAAAGGAAUUGACGG
This 651-nucleotide ribosomal RNA is filed under the name uncultured bacterium. RNAcentral's name for it is "bacterial SSU rRNA". It matches the Rfam family "Bacterial small subunit ribosomal RNA", at positions 274 to 916 of the family's 1533-position model. The record is from RNAcentral.